Molecule: long non-coding RNA, 425 nt
Filed under: Eucalyptus grandis
Lineage: Eukaryota; Viridiplantae; Streptophyta; Magnoliopsida; Myrtales; Myrtaceae
Description: long non-coding RNA (EGRA_LNC003092)
Source: RNAcentral
UUGCAGUCACCGUGUCGCUCCCCGCCAGUCAACACCGCAACUCGACGACCCGUGAAGCCGCUCCGCCUGUAGAUCCGAGCCCACCGCAACACCGUGACCAGAUUCCCCGAGUUGCAGUCCCAUUCGCUGCCGUGCCGUCGGAGCCGAGCACCUGCACCCGCGAUGCCGGCUGAGAUCUCGCCUGCCGCUGCUCCUCGCGACGCCACUGCUCGCCGCCGAUCCGCUCGCUGCUGGUCCUCAUCGUCGGAGCUCCGACGAUUAACUCCUGGUGGACCUCCUCGAAGACCCACGGUUCCACGUGGGAAAGGAAAGAAGAAAAAACAAAAAAAAAAAAGGAAAAGGGAUUUAGGUAGAUUUUUUAUUUUAUUAUUAUUGCUUAUCUAGUUAUAGUUUUUUUUAUUUAUUUUCCUUUAUAUCUGGUUUUG